GUCGGAGUGGCGGAAUUGGUAGACGCGCUGGGCUUAGGACCCAGUGGGGUAACCCGUGGGGGUUCGAGUCCCUCCUCCGACA
Molecule: transfer RNA, 82 nt
Filed under: Candidatus Omnitrophica bacterium 4484_49
Lineage: Bacteria; Pseudomonadati; Candidatus Omnitrophota
Description: tRNA-Leu
Rfam family: tRNA
About the family: Transfer RNA (tRNA) molecules are approximately 80 nucleotides in length.
Source: RNAcentral